UUCCAGCACUCUAAAUCUCUUUUUUUCCUUUUCCAAACCCUACGCAGGGAUUUUCACAAUAUUUGUGAUCGAGGGCCACCGCCUAGGGCACGAACUCCUCACCGUUGUCUAAGGAAGUUAUUUCUCCAGCUGUCAGAUUAGGCUCUCAUUGUGAUUCUCUUUUUCACAUAUCCGAAGGGUAAAUCAAUGUCGUCAUUUGACGAAAGGGGGUUUUUAAAACCCUAGCAUUGAAGGAAGUGUGGAAGUAAUGAUUGGGAGCAGCCGUAGAAGAUGAUGGCCAGAGGUCUGGAUCUAGGGUUUGAACAAACCACAUUAGAGGAUGACGGAUUCAAAAGAGGUUUUCCCCUUAGAUUUGGCCCGGAUUUGAGGGUUUUCGUUGUGAUUGCCGUUUGAGGGUGGAAUUUGAGGGUUUUCCCCUCAGAUUUGGCUCGGAUUUGGAUGAAUUCAAUUCAAAAGAGCUGGUUUUUAGGGUUUCGGAUUCGACUUGGAGGGGAUCUAGUUGAAGUCGAAGCAUUUGACCGAGGGUUUCCUACGGAAAUUACAUUUUGUGAGAAAUCCAUUUUUCGGCCUUUUUUUAGGUGCUUGAAGUUAGAUCUGAUUGGCAUUGAAGUGGUUUGCGGAAAAAUGGCAGUAGAUCUAUAGAAGAUUUGAGCAUUUUUAUCUGUCUGAUCUGCCAAUGGAGGUAGAACAAGAGACAGAGGUUCAUAUUAGUCUUCUCUCAUCUAAUUCACUUAAAUUUCUCUUCUUUUGCCUUAGCAUAUGCUCUUGGUUGCUGGAAUUGAUGAUUUUGAUGUGCAUUCCUUCAGUCUGUGAUUUUGGUUUCUUGGUUUUCUUUUCCUUCUUCUGCCGUACAUUUAACUUUUUCAGAUCGUUUUAGGGCAUUAAUCCAAAAAGAGGCAGAUCAAAAGGUCAAGUUGACCACACCAUAGAAAAUAGUGGGGAUUGGGAAAGGGUUAUCAAUCUUGUUGGAUUUUGGAUUGGAAGAUCUACGGUCGGAGUUGACAAAGAGUUUCGGGGGAAAGUCUGCCGGAAGCUCCAUUUCCAUCAGAAAAUCUUGCUUAGCCCGGAUGUUUUUGCCAUUAUGCUAUUCAACCUACCGGAUCUCAUAAUCUUCGUCUUUUUUCUGCUCGCAUUUGUGGAAUUGAUAGAGAAAGCGCUCAAGAACCGGAAUGAAUGGUUGAGUUGUAGGAAUCGAGAUCAGAGGAUAUAGGUGUAAAGCUUAGAGGAAGAGAAAGGGGUUCGAGGAGAUUUUCCAAAAACUCGAACGGAAGAGAUCAGAUUACUUUCUUGAAUUUCUCUAUUUUGAAGUUUUGUAGCUAAAAAUCUUUGUUUUUUCCAGCCGAACUAUAGGAGAUUCAGGCAAAAAGAGGUCUUCAGAACUCUGUAUUUCCAGCUGCACUGGCAAUGAAGAGGUGGAGUACAAGCCUCUCCCUGCUGGUCCAAGAAAUGGUACUAAAAAAGAGACUAGGGCAUCUGGAGAUGUGGAAGUGAGUUUAUGUUGUUAGUUGUAAUCCCAUCUAUCUAAGCUGUUGGAGCAAUUUCUUGUCACCAUCCCAAGUCCCAGUUCUUGAGAAUGUUUACUGGAAGGACCUCAUCCUUCUUGUCUCUAUCUGGAUUGCAUUCCUUGCACUACAGAUUGCCAAGAAUUACACGGCAACCUGUUCGAUAGCAUACUUGAUUU
Long non-coding RNA from Magnolia sinica, 1681 nucleotides. RefSeq lists it as uncharacterized. Lineage: Eukaryota; Viridiplantae; Streptophyta; Magnoliopsida; Magnoliales; Magnoliaceae. The record is from RefSeq and is a predicted model, not a curated record. The transcript is spliced from 3 exons.